RNAcentral lists this unclassified non-coding RNA (212 nucleotides) under Hevea brasiliensis (rubber tree). The record is from RNAcentral. Lineage: Eukaryota; Viridiplantae; Streptophyta; Magnoliopsida; Malpighiales; Euphorbiaceae.
AAUUGGUUAUUUUAUUUGUUGGAUUGAAAUUGUUUUAUUUCGUUUGUGGCUUUGUGCACAUAUAUAUAUUCACUAAUUUUCACUUCAGAUUGUGAGUUUUAUCAUGUGGUACCUCUCCAUUAGCAAUCGACGACUCUUGGCAAAACUCCGUUUAAUCUGGCUGACAUGGCAUUAAAAUAUAAUUAAUAAUAAAUAUAAAAUUACCAACAGCA